Dermacentor silvarum is the source of this 1470-nucleotide long non-coding RNA. RefSeq lists it as uncharacterized. NCBI's taxonomy places the organism in Eukaryota, Metazoa, Arthropoda, Arachnida, Ixodida, Ixodidae. The record is from RefSeq and is a predicted model, not a curated record. The transcript is spliced from 2 exons.
UCAGGUGAGCCUAGCGUCGAACGCAAGCUCAUGUACAUCAGUCCCGACAAAACGUGCGCGAUCCUUGUCGAAGCCCUGAAGAAAGGACGCAAGGGUUGCCAACUCGUGCAGCCAGAGUCCGCGAUCGACAACGGGAUACCGCAGGAGUGCAACAAGAUCUACGAGGCCAGCUGCGGCAAAAAGAGCCUCACCGUCUACGAACCCGCCUGCAAGACGCUGCCUGACAGCGUGCCCCACGAGGAACUUUAAAACAAUUUUUUUUCUCGCGAUGGCACUCGUGAGCUGGAAGACCGUCACGCACGCCAUCUGUCGGAACAUUCGUCCCAACCUGUCAAGUGUUGUGCGCGGAAGGUGCCUUUUUCAAGAGCGUCUCCCGACACUUACCGACGCUUGUCACGGGCUCGACACAUCUUUAAAAGAGACACUAAAGAAUGCUACGCUGUGUUACUGAAUCACAGUUCUAAAACAUCAAAACAGAUGCACUCUUACCGCGGGGCCUAUAUCGAAACUAUAGAAGCCACAGCGCCUAGCAACCGCGGUUGAACGCGAUUGGAUGAAACGCCGCCGACGACGCUCGACGCAGCGAUGCCCUUAGCCACCGCUGUGAGAGUAUGUCACGCCGCCUAACGCCUAGGAACGUAAUCCGUCGCGGGGUUUGCGUCGCGAAGCACCAAGGGAACAAUGGUGGCGCGUUGCUACGGUGCGAAAUCAGAGCGUCGCCGGCGGCGUUUCAGCUAAUCGCGUUCAGCCGUUGUUGCUAAGGCGCUAUGCCUUCUAGAUUUUCAAUAUACGCAACCGGGGGAUCUCCAGGAUUCAUUACAGAGCCUCUCUCUCUCUCUCUCCUUACCAUUAGAGGAGACUUAUUGGUAAGACAGAAAAAAACACCAACAAAAUACCGGUGGUGACUCAACCCUGAAGUUGCCAGACCAGCUUGUCAUGACGUCAUGGAUUUCUACAGCGUCUACGUUGGUCCAUAGUCAAACCGUUUAUCGUUCAGGAAGGACUACGUGUCACUAUAUUUAUAAGGACGAAACAAUAAUAACUAGCAAGUUUUGAUAACUGUAAUAACUAGCAAGUUUCGAUAACUUUUGCUUUGCGAAAACGUCCCUGAGUACGAAUAAAUGGCCUUGAAACCGGUGACGUCCCACUGAAGUAGCAGUGCUGGCCGUUUUUGGCGCGAAAUUAAAAAGAAACACAAAAGCACGGCCAUCACUUUUCAACGAUAAGAAUCAUCUUCUUGACAAAUCAUGCUCUUUAUUUGUCUCCUUGAGCUGUGAUUUAAAUUUCUUACUCGAUAAUUCUGUUUUCGAGUCAGUUCUUCUGAUUCUACCUAUCAUACCUUCUACCAUAAGAUCUCUUGGUUACGGCGAUGCCUUGAAGCAUUUCCUUGCACAACCGCAGGUCGUUUGCGAGUAAACGUGACGCUCGUCGAUUCCUUUAUUAUUACAUUUAUUAUACCUCGCUCACGUA